UCUCAUUGCGAUGGUGUGCUACAGAAUCUUUUAACAAUUAAAGUACUAGCUCUGGCUUCCUGCGAUUCCAUUGUUUCUCAUUGGCUAUUCGCUUGUAGAAAACUCUCACCUGUAGUGUAAUUGCUAAUAUAUGAAACGGUUUAGUAGGAAAAUGAAUAUCAGUCAUUGAUUCAGAGGAGGUUUGAUUACGAUUAAGGAUGUGCAACUGGUUUCAAUAUUGUGGUAAGUAAACGAAUGUUCUUCAUUUGAACACUACGAGUAGUGUAAGACGCUCAACAGUUGCAUAGCCAAUCAGAGCGCAAGAUUUUUGAAUGAGCCAAUCAGAGGACCGUAUUUAGCACACGUCACUAACUUGCACAGAAAGUGUCGCGCUCUUGCCGCUCCGAUGCGUCACAGGUUCUGAAUGUGAGCGUGAACGAUAUUGGUGAUAGUGGUGCGGAUCAUCUCUAUAUGAAAGCUUCUGAAGCCCUUGAAGUGAAUAGCACGUUGACAAAUGCGGAUGUGAGCAGAAACAACAUUGAGAGUGGUGCCCGUCAUCUGAAUGGGUUUAAGGUGGCUCCAUAGGGUAAUCUUUGAUCGCCUGCGAGCGCUAGUGUUAUGGUUUCAAUGCUGUUUUUGCAUUCGUUUUAACACCCAGUCGUCUCAAGCAUAUGAAAUGCAAUAAGCAAUAAUGAAAUAGUGUUUUACUAUCAUCUCUGUUAAAAUCUUGGCUUUCAUAACUAAACAGCCGGCAAUUAACCAGCCGUGAGAAGCAAAAAGUUGUGACGAACCUAAACCUAAUGACUAGCUGUUUCCAUUGUGUCUCAAGCUGUCGACAUCUUUAUACUUUGGAAUACCAAAGAAAUCAUUUCUUUUUUUUUUUUUUUCGCUAAAACAAUGUACAGAAACAAGCGGCUUAAGAAUAGUGGGGACAGCCUCGCAGCGAAAACGCUCUCAUACAAGUCAUACAGGUAGAGAAACAACAACUGUAAGUAAACAGAGGAAGCUAGAAAGUCGAGCCGAAAAGAAAGAAGACGUUUCUGAAUAUGGGAAAUGAUGAUUCCUACUCACUCAGGUAUUACAGUUUAUCCAAAUAUAACCACUGUUAAAGAAAUCGUUAGAGCUCAACUCUUAUGUAUUCAGCUGUAAUGUGGUGUUUUCCUUCUUGAAAUAAUGUAGCUUUUGACUAAUAUGAAUUAAGGACUGCUGCUUAAGAUAUCUGCGUACUUGUUAAAAUAGAACUUCAGAUUAAUGUAUGUUUAUGUAUCUUUAUGUAUCUUGUGCUUUCGAUAUAAACACAUUUAGUACGUAUGUUGAUAUGGCUGAGCUCUUUUGGUGGGUUACUAAGGGUUUCCUGGAAAAACAGGAUCAAGGAUCACCUGAUCAAGGAUCAAGGAAGAGCAACAUUCCUAUUUGGG
Molecule: long non-coding RNA, 1397 nt
Organism: Orbicella faveolata
Lineage: Eukaryota; Metazoa; Cnidaria; Anthozoa; Scleractinia; Merulinidae
Source: RefSeq, a predicted model, not a curated record